This 863-nucleotide ribosomal RNA is filed under the name Streptococcus agalactiae. RNAcentral describes it as "bacterial SSU rRNA". It matches the Rfam family "Bacterial small subunit ribosomal RNA", at positions 22 to 867 of the family's 1533-position model. Lineage: Bacteria; Bacillati; Bacillota; Bacilli; Lactobacillales; Streptococcaceae. The record is from RNAcentral.
GCUCAGGACGAACGCUGGCGGCGUGCCUAAUACAUGCAAGUAGAACGCUGAGGUUUGGUGUUUACACUAGACUGAUGAGUUGCGAACGGGUGAGUAACGCGUAGGUAACCUGCCUCAUAGCGGGGGAUAACUAUUGGAAACGAUAGCUAAUACCGCAUAAGAGUAAUUAACACAUGUUAGUUAUUUAAAAGGAGCAAUUGCUUCACUGUGAGAUGGACCUGCGUUGUAUUAGCUAGUUGGUGAGGUAAAGGCUCACCAAGGCGACGAUACAAAGCCGACCUGAGAGGGUGAUCGGCCACACUGGGACUGAGACACGGCCCAGACUCCUACGGGAGGCAGCAGUAGGGAAUCUUCGGCAAUGGACGGAAGUCUGACCGAGCAACGCCGCGUGAGUGAAGAAGGUUUUCGGAUCGUAAAGCUCUGUUGUUAGAGAAGAACGUUGGUAGGAGUGGAAAAUCUACCAAGUGACGGUAACUAACCAGAAAGGGACGGCUAACUACGUGCCAGCAGCCGCGGUAAUACGUAGGUCCCGAGCGUUGUCCGGAUUUAUUGGGCGUAAAGCGAGCGCAGGCGGUUCUUUAAGUCUGAAGUUAAAGGCAGUGGCUUAACCAUUGUACGCUUUGGAAACUGGAGGACUUGAGUGCAGAAGGGGAGAGUGGAAUUCCAUGUGUAGCGGUGAAAUGCGUAGAUAUAUGGAGGAACACCGGUGGCGAAAGCGGCUCUCUGGUCUGUAACUGACGCUGAGGCUCGAAAGCGUGGGGAGCAAACAGGAUUAGAUACCCUGGUAGUCCACGCCGUAAACGAUGAGUGCUAGGUGUUAGGCCCUUUCCGGGGCUUAGUGCCGCAGCUAACGCAUUAAGCAC